AAUCAACGCUGGCGGCGUGCCUAACACAUGCAAGUCGAACGCGAAAGCCCCUUCGGGGGCAAGUAGAGUGGCGUCCGGGUGAGUAACACGUGGGUAAUCUACCUCCGGGUGGGGAAUAACUCGCCGAAAGGCGGGCUAAUACCGCAUAAUGCAGCGGCACCGAAUGGUGAUUAGUUGUUAAAGCGGGGGACCUUAGGGCCUCGCGUCUGGAGAGGAGCCUGCGGCAGAUUAGCUUGNGGUAGGGUAAUGGCCUACCAAGGCUGCGAUCUGUAGCUGGUCUGAGAGGACGGCCAGCCACACUGGCACUGACACACGGGCCAGACUCCUACGGGAGGCAGCAGUGGGGGAAUAUUGCGCAAUGGGCGAAAGCCUGACGCAGCGACGCCGCGUGGGGGA
Molecule: ribosomal RNA, 396 nt
Filed under: uncultured bacterium
Lineage: Bacteria
Description: bacterial SSU rRNA
Rfam family: Bacterial small subunit ribosomal RNA
Source: RNAcentral